ACGGUCCUAAGGUAGCGAAAUUCCUUGUCAGGUAAGUUCUGACCCGCACGAAAGGAGUAAUGAUUUGGGCACUGUCUCAACAAUGUACCCGGCGAAAUUGUAGUACUAGUGAAGAUGCUAGUUACCUGCGACAAGACGGAAAGACCCCAUGGAGCUUUACUAUAGCCUGAUAUUGGGCUUUGGUAUCUUAUGUACAGGAUAGGUGGGAGACGAAGAGAUUAAGACGCUAGUCUUAAAGGAGUCACCCUUGGAAUACCACCCUUAAGAUAUUAGAGUUCUAACUUGUGAUCAUAAACUGGUCAGAGGACAUUGUCAGGUGGGUAGUUUGACUGGGGCGGUCACCUCCUAAAGAGUAACGGAGGUGCGCAAAGGUUUCCUCAGCACGGUCAGAAAUCGUGCUAUUGAGUGUAAAGGCAUAAGGAAGCUUAACUGAGAGAGAGACAUCUCGACCAGAUACGAAAGUAGGUCUUAGUGAUCCGGUGGUAGAAAAUGGAAUUGCCAUCGCUCAACGGAUAAAAGUUACCCUGGGGAUAACAGGCUUAUCUCCCCCAAGAGUUCACAUCGACGGGGAGGUUUGGCACCUCGAUGUCGGCUCAUCGCAUCCUGGGGCUGAAGUCGGUCCCAAGGGUUGGGCUGUUCGCCCAUUAAAGCGGUACGCGAGCUGGGUUCAGAACGUCGUGAGACAGUUCGGUCCCUAUCUGUCGCAGGCGCAGGAUAUUUGAAAGGAGCUGUCCUUAGUACGAGAGGACCAGGAUGGACAUACCAAUGGUGCAACAGUUGUCACACCAGUGGCACGGCUGUGUAGCUAAGUAUGGAAGGGAUAAACGCUGAAAGCAUCUAAGCGUGAAGCCCCCCUUAAGAUAAGAUAUCCCACAACGUCAAGUUGGUAAGAUUCCAGUUAGACUAACUGGUUGAUAGGUUAGAGGUGUAAGUGUGGUGACACAUUUAGCUGACUAAUACUAAUAAUCGAGGGCUUAACCAA
Molecule: ribosomal RNA, 982 nt
Filed under: human metagenome
Description: bacterial LSU rRNA
Rfam family: Bacterial large subunit ribosomal RNA
Source: RNAcentral